GUGCUCACUUUGGUGGCACAUAUACUAAAGUUGAAAUGAUUUGGAGAACUAAUUAGCAUGGCUGUUGCACAAGGAUGGCAGGCACUUUUGUGAAACUGUCAUAUUUUUG
Onychomys torridus (southern grasshopper mouse) is the source of this 109-nucleotide small nuclear RNA. Lineage: Eukaryota; Metazoa; Chordata; Mammalia; Rodentia; Cricetidae. The record is from RefSeq and is a predicted model, not a curated record.